AACCAGGCCAUCUAAAGGGGCAAAACGAUCUGUGCCACUCAUUUCACCCUACACAGUAAAUGCUCAGUUCCACUUUUCACUGCAGCCGUCCGAUUGGUGAACAUUUUUCUCACUUCCUUAUCUUCCAGCGAGUCGAUGACGUCUGGGGCCAACUAUGUGCAGGAUCCAAUGGUCAGAGGGAGCUACGGGUGUUCUUUCACGUCGACUUUCGUCUCCAGCGGCUGGACGGUGAAAACCUAGAUCGGGGCACACCCAAUCCACUCCCCAAUCCCCACCCCUCCUCUCCUCUCCAAUCCCCGUCUCUUCUCCUUCCCCAAUCACCGGCCGAUCUCUCUCCCCAGCUGCAGCCGCGCGUGAGGCCGGAGAGGCCACACCCCGAGCCGCAGAAGGCGCUGUAGAAGUGCGAGAGGGCACUCUCCCAGCCACAGAAGGCGCUGGAGAAGCGCAUCUCGGAGGUGGAUGGAGGCGAGCGCCGCGCCGCCUCUCCCCCGGGAUGGAGCCAGAUGGCCACGAGCGUUGGCCGGAGGAGGCGACGCAGGAGCACGCACCAGGGGGGGGUGCCGGGGACGCCUCGCUCUCUCCUCUUCCCCGUCCGCUCCUUUUCCUCCAUGGUCGAGCUCGAGCUCGUCUUCCCGUCGCCCUACACCACUGCAGGAGGCGUCCGCCUCCGUCUUGGUCAGUCCCAGCCUCCGUUGUUCCCCGCGCUGGACAGAGCUAGGUGCAGCAGCGUUGGGCUAAGAAGAGCAAGGAACUGGAUGACUCUGCUGCCAUGGAGGCGACGGAGUAGGUGGUCAAGGGGGAGGCUCGUGGUGCGGCAACGGAGGAGGUGGCCGAGCUGGUCCUGCUGUUUCAGGUUGCAAGGAAUGGAGGAGGACAGGGUGUGAGCCAAGGAGGGUGUCCGUUGUAGCUGUCACGGUCCACCCAUGGAUGCCGCUCUGAUGCCGCUGAGCAGAGGAGGGGGUAUGAGCCGAGGAGGGUGUCUGUCGCAGCCGUCAGCACCCUGAAUCCACGUUUUUGUUACUCAAUGACCUUUUAAUAAGUGCAUUGUUGGUUUGAUUCUUGAAAUCAGGUGGAAAUAAAUACCAGGAGUGAAUUCAGUGAGCCAUGGGGUGUGGUCUCACACCAUGUGGCAUCGACACCUUGGUGUUUUGCAUCUUUUACCUCUCACUCUUUGGUGGGUGCUUCUGUAGGAUAGGGACGACGAAGAGGGGCUAGAUGUUGCAGUGAUACAUAAUAGCAGAACCCCUGUAUGGGGUGACCAUUGCUAUCUUUGUCAUGAACUUGGAUGGGCAGUCUGAGCUUACUCUAUUUGAGAGAUCAUAUGCUUGCUAUUGCUACCGGUGAUGAGCCUGAUGGCAUCGUAUGCUAUCAAAUAAAGCUGUUUCAGAUUGAAAUCUUCAGGUUUGUUCUCUUCUCUUUAUCGGGUUUAGAAUUGCUUAUCUCUCUUGCCAUGCGAUAGUUUCAAUAUUUAUAGCAGCGGACGGAGGAAGAGGUGGAGCGGUGGCUGCAGGAAAGAUGUCUUCAAGUUCAACUCUUGUGAUUAUCUAUAUGUGACGUGCAUAGUAAGGUUUUUUCACACUGUACAGAGCCACUAGAGAACAUUAGGAGCUUAUGCUUUCCAAUUCUGAGUUGUGUGCUCUCUCACUGUUAUGUUAUGGAUAUCAGGAGGCUUACCUACCAAAGGUAGUUCUUCUUGCUAUUAGCUGUUUUAAUCUUCUUUUCACCAGUUUGGACAUGAUUUUACAGUAUUACAAAUGCAUUUUCAUCUAUACUUGUUAUGACAACAGUUCAUAUUUUAUAGGCUGCUGGUACCGUUCCCGGCAAUGACACCAUUAGAAUGGAUCAGUUGUCUUGUCUAGGCAGUAUUUGCAGAAAAGCCUAAUUUUGAUGGUUUCAGUUCUUACCUUGGGAUUAUUUAAAUCAGUAUAUUUCAGAGUUGCUUGAAAAGAUUUUAUCCAUAUUAUUUUUCUUCUUUGGAUUAUCACAAAAAUAGUGUGGUUUUCUCUCCUAUCUGUCACUCGCACAUUUCUUUCUCUUAUAUUAUAUUAGAUAACACACAUACCGAUCAAUUUGUUUUUGGUUAAUAUUGUUUUUGUGUGUGUUGGUUUCAAGCUAAAAGUGAGGAAGUGAUGAGGUGACAUGCAUAAGGGCCACCCUUUUUUUAGAACUCCAAAUGAACUCUAUUAUAUGGUAGUCGGAUAUUGUUAUAUUAGUUGUAUAAAUAAUCCUCUUAGUGUUCAUUUUUAUUUUGCCUAUUUUCCAAGUAAUCAGAUGCAGCUUGUUUUGAGAAGGCACUCAAUCAUGCUGGUCUGUUUUGUUAUGGCACCAACAUCCAAAUAGUACGAGUACCAAUGCAGCUUAUAAGAUUUUAUCAUGUUUCCUUCAGGUUGUUGUUAAUCUGAAUUUUGAAGAUCUGUUGUUUUCACAUAAAGCACACAUAUGUCUGAUUUGUAAUGCUUAAAUAUGGCACUACAGGCUGUGGUUGAGCAUCAGCCUGUGUAUUCACACAUUUUGUUUCAUCCUGUACACAAUUCAUACUCUGAGCCGUACGUUUUCGUCAUGUUUCCUUCGGGUUUGUAGUAUUGUUGGGUCAUGUACAGCCUUCUUUACAAGCAGCUCAAGAUCCCCUUCGUUGGGUAAAACUGUGAUUUCUUGAUUUUUUGACAUAUUUUGUUGUGGAUUUUUAUGAAGAAAUUACCUAUCUUUAUACUAUUUGGAAUGUCUAAUAUAUACUGAAGAUUGGUAAGCCUACCACUAAGAUAAUGCGCAGCUGUGUUUUUCCUGGUGGGUUUUCUUGGUUACAUGACUGUAUCGUGCCUCAUAUUAUCUAAGAGGAUAUGUUGGAAAAUCAUUGGCAUAAAUUCUAGCAAUUUUGCGUGCUAUGUUAGAUUAUUGAUGUCUUCCUCGAGGAAGAAGGUGUCGCGUAUCACCGGACGUUGUAGCUUGGGUUUAAGCUAGGGAUUGGGUCAUGUAUCACCAGUAUCAGGUUAUUAUUACCGCAUAAUAGUUGCAUCUGCUCCUAUUUUAUUUUGCAUAUUUAAAACAAGCAAUGAUCCAUUUCUGUGAAGCUUUAAAACAAGCUGGACGGCCGAUCGCGGUGGUCAGGUGCAGCAGUUGGGCUAGGGAGUGGUGUUCAGGUCCACACGUGAGGAGCAGGGAGUGGCACUCCGCGUACCAGCGUGUGCAGCUGAUAGCAAGUUUAGUGAGCGUUGCCGGACGUCGAGGUGGUCUGGGUGAGGCUGACUGAUAUCCGAAACCCUUUGUCGAUGUUUGAGAAGUAUCACUGUGGAGAAAGAUCGUGGUGAGAUUCAUAUUGGUGUGUUUUUGUUGCGUGCUUCCAACAUGUGUGCAGAGCUCUCGUCAUUUUUACAUGAGGAUUUUGCUGCUAGGAUUUGGGUGUUCAGAAGAUUCAGAGACAGCGACGGCCAUCUGCAGGUAUGGUUAUCCUACUGACCUCUCUUCUUCUCUAUCUUCCAUACGCACUAGCAUUAUUCCCUCUUUUUGCUUGUAUUUUUUCAUGGGUGGAGGUGAUUGUAUAAUUUUUUAUCAUGUCUUAAUGCCUUUAACUUGGUCUAAUUUGGUUCAUCUUACAACCUCAAAUUCCGAAAUUCAUUCGAAAAUACCCCUUUCUCCAACUUUAUUGAUUUUGACCUUUUUAUUUUGCCAUGUCACCGGUUUUUUAGUAAGUGCAUGCACUACGGCUUCACAGUACACAUUGUUUGUACUACAUACAUGUGUAUUCUUCCCUGAUACAAGCUAGAAAACCAGAUAUGGCAAUCAGCGAGGACCGCCUCCACCGCUGCAUGGACCCUGCUUGGAUGCUGUUCUCUCCCCGCUGGCGAGCCAGCUACUGUAAUUUUUAGAAAUAUAUUUGCAAGCAUGUUGUUGAAGCCCUGAUGGAUAUAUUAUACAUUAAUGUAUGACUUGGCAUUCACAUAUAUGCUUGUAUUUUUGGAAUGGUCAUGAAUGAAAAGGUUGCUCAAAUUUUUGAUGGAUAUUUCCCCCUUGCUUUUUUACCUGUAACCCUAUUUUUGGUCAGUAUAAAUAUAUUGGAAGUUACAGUCUUGGUGGUGGCCUGGUUGCAGGUCUAAUAUCUUGUGUGAACAAAUAAGUCACAUGAUUUCUCUGUUUGUGUAAUUCCAUUUUCUCAUGGCUUCUCCCAUUCAACAGGUAACUAGCAUUGAAUCUUUACAUUGUUUGGCCAAAUUGAGAAGUGAACUUGGACUAAUAGCUUUCAUGUAUAUGUGUAUUUUUUAUAUAUUUUUUUGCCUUCAUUUCCUGUCUGUUAGAACAUGUUAUUCUGAGUAAACUUACGAAAACUAUAUAGCUUCUGUUGGAUAUAGCAUUCAGAACGUCACCACUUACCUUGGAUUUCUGAAUCUUUUCAGAGGACAUGUUUUUGAAAAAUAUAUGCAAUGCUUUUGUCAUAGAAUUGGUGAGCAAUUUAGAUAGAUAUGUCGAUCCUGCUGUUACUAGCCUUUCUUACAAUGUUGUCGAUUCUCUUGCAGAUCUAGCUAUGAUGUUGCUGUCAAGGGCCCAAAGAAGUAGUGAAUCAGAGAGGGACAAGAGGGCGAGGAUGUUAUUAACACAGAAAACAAAGAGGAAUAUCAGUGUCUGGAGGAAGCUUCAUCGCCACCGUCCCUUGCUUCUUGCCGUCUUCCAACGCCAGGGAUGAUACAUAUAUCUCUACAAAUGUUGUGCAGAUGUUUUAGUGUCUAUACAAGAGUACCCAACUUAUAUAUUGUUAACUGUCGAGAGACUGAUAUUGAUAUUAUAUUUAUGAAGUAAAUUCAAUGCAGUUUUACAUAUCGAAUAUGUGAAAUGACACAUUAUUUACAUAUUUUAUCCAAGUAUAUGCUUGUGUUUAUGAAAUUCACCAUGGUCACCAUGAGUAUGAGUAGUGGGCCAUAUUGUAGUCCAUGGACAUAUACAUAGUAGUGCGAGACAAUAUUGCUUGCGUAAUUAGCACAAGUAGUUAUUUCACUAAGUCUAAAAACCUCAAUAGCCAUAAUGUGAUCACAUUGCUUGAGUAUUGUUGUUCUUUUCCCAUUUGUGUCGGGGCGCAACUGGUCAUCUCUUUUUGUAUUUGUUUGAUAGGCUUAAUAUCGGAGGAACCGACGGUAAUUACUUAUAGUGGUAAUUAUUUAUAGUGGUAAUUAUUUAUAGUG
Molecule: long non-coding RNA, 5168 nt
Organism: Lolium perenne
Lineage: Eukaryota; Viridiplantae; Streptophyta; Magnoliopsida; Poales; Poaceae
Source: RefSeq, a predicted model, not a curated record